This 468-nucleotide ribosomal RNA is filed under the name uncultured bacterium. RNAcentral describes it as "partial 16S ribosomal RNA". It matches the Rfam family "Bacterial small subunit ribosomal RNA", at positions 28 to 507 of the family's 1533-position model. The record is from RNAcentral.
GACGAACGCUGGCGGCGUGCUUAACACAUGCAAGUCGAACGGAAAGGCCCUGCUUUUGUGGGGUGCUCGAGUGGCGAACGGGUGAGUAACACGUGAGUAACCUGCCCUUGACUUUGGGAUAACUUCAGGAAACUGGGGCUAAUACCGGAUAGGAGCUCCUGCUGCAUGGUGGGGGUUGGAAAGUUUCGGCGGUUGGGGAUGGACUCGCGGCUUAUCAGCUUGUUGGUGGGGUAGUGGCUUACCAAGGCUUUGACGGGUAGCCGGCCUGAGAGGGUGACCGGCCACAAUGGGACUGAGAUACGGCCCAGACUCCUACGGGAGGCAGCAGUGGGGAAUAUUGCACCAUGGGCGGAAGCCUGAUGCAGCAACGCCGCGUGCGGGAUGACGGCCUUCGGGUUGUAAACCGCUUUCGCCUGUGACGAAGCGUGAGUGACGGUAAUGGGUAAAGAAGCACCGGCUAACUACGUG